GAUGAACGCUGGCGGCGUGCCUAAUACAUGCAAGUCGAGCGAACAGAUGAGGAGCUUGCUCCUCUGACGUUAGCGGCGGACGGGUGAGUCACACGUGGAUAACCUACCUAUAAGACUGGUAUAACUUCGGGAAACCGGAGCUAAUACCGGAUAAUAUAUUGAACCGCAUGGUUCAAUAGUGAAAGACGGUUUUGCUGUAUCUUAUAGAUGGAUCCGCGCCGGAUUAGCUAGUUGGGAAGGUAACGGCUUACCAAGGGUACGAUGCGUAGACGACCUGAGGGGCGGGUCGGCCACACGGGAACUUAGACACGGUCCAUACUCCUACGGGAGGCAGCAGUAGGGAAUCUUCCGCAAUGGGCGAAAGCCUGACGGAGCAACGCGGCGUGAGUGAUGAAGAUCUUCGGUUCGUAAAACUCUGUUAUUAGGGAAGAACAAAUGUGUAAGUAACUAUGCACGUAUUGACGGUACCUAAUCAGAAAGCAACGGCUAACUACGUG
This 497-nucleotide ribosomal RNA is filed under the name uncultured bacterium. Its description in RNAcentral is "partial 16S ribosomal RNA". It matches the Rfam family "Bacterial small subunit ribosomal RNA", at positions 28 to 507 of the family's 1533-position model. The record is from RNAcentral.